UCUGGAGAGAGCAAGGGAGCAGGGGGAGAGGGAACCAGCCCUGGUUACUUUCACUUGGAUGAGUGGGGACGGGGUGGAGACCAUGGCCUGCCUCAGCAGGAUGUCCCAGCCAUAAAAAGCUGGAGGAAUAGCAGCUCCAGCGAGCCAGAUGCCUCUCAAGCAAGAAAGACGCCUGCCUGAGUUGCCUCUCCCGGGUUGAAGGUAAAGUCCUGUUGCUGAAGACACCACGGACUUCAGAUACGAGAGUCAUGCUGGAUCUCCCUUGAAAGUCUCUCUCUCUGUGGUCUAGUUUCCAGACUAUCAGAAGGCGCUAGCCCUAAAUAUACAACAGUGGCACUCACAUCUAGACUAACUGACCGCACUCUAGUUGGACUAAAACCUGCUCAACAGGAGGGAAAUCAUGCCUGGCAUUGGAAACUUAGUCAACUACCCCGGGUUAAUGAGGAAUGAGGUUGUGAAUCUUAGAGGAGAACCUAUUACUACCACUUUACUGGACCGGUGUAAUUCCUAACUGCACCCUACAACCUUAUCCCUACAGAGUGUAGCUCUCGUUCUGAUCAAAGACGCUGCUCUCUGUGGUGAAAACCACCACUGGUCAUACGGCACAGAUCAACCAAUCCUGAGGAUCCCAACCCUUACAGGUACAUCUACAAUACUACUCCUGUAGCCACGGCUCGGGGAACAGCACAGAGAAGAUGGUGGGAAGACUUGAAGAGCCAGAGAGCCAGAGGACCAGGAACUCUGCUGUGAGACCGUAUUGCUUAGAACCAAUAACCAAGCUACAUUGUUUGUACCUCAACAAUAUGUCUGCUUAAACAUGAACUGAACGAAGUCCAUGCCAACGGACAUGCUAACUCGGAAUGGGAAAUUUUCACAGGGUCCCCACCCUAGACAAAGAACUCCAAGCAGCUGAUGACUUCUGAGAGAAUUAGUCUCUCUCAGGGAUGAGCCCCCUGAUUGGUUAUCUAAUACCAAGUGGUCAGCAUUAAAAUCACAUUCACAC
This 1003-nucleotide long non-coding RNA is filed under the name Rattus norvegicus (Norway rat). Its description in RNAcentral is "long non-coding RNA NONRATT004715". Lineage: Eukaryota; Metazoa; Chordata; Mammalia; Rodentia; Muridae. The record is from RNAcentral.